This is a small nuclear RNA of Gracilinanus agilis (Agile Gracile Mouse Opossum), 105 nucleotides long. NCBI's taxonomy places the organism in Eukaryota, Metazoa, Chordata, Mammalia, Didelphimorphia, Didelphidae. The record is from RefSeq and is a predicted model, not a curated record.
GCACUUUCUACAGCAGCACAUAUACUAAAAUUGGAAUGAUAACAAAGAUUAGUAUAGCUCCUGCACAAGGAUGACACAAAAAUUCAUGAAGUAGCAUCCCAAAUU